RNAcentral lists this ribosomal RNA (468 nucleotides) under uncultured bacterium. Its description in RNAcentral is "partial 16S ribosomal RNA". It matches the Rfam family "Bacterial small subunit ribosomal RNA", at positions 28 to 507 of the family's 1533-position model. The record is from RNAcentral.
GACGAACGCUGGCGGCGUGCUUAACACAUGCAAGUCGAACGGAAAGGCCCUGCUUUUGUGGGGUGCUCGAGUGGCGAACGGGUGAGUAAUACGUGAGUAACCUGCCCUUGACUUUGGGAUAACUUCAGGAAACUGGGGCUAAUACCGGAUAGGAGCUCCUGCUGCAUGGUGGGGGUUGGAAAGUUUCGGCGGUUGGGGAUGGACUCGCGGCUUAUCAGCUUGUUGGUGGGGUAGUGGCUUACCAAGGCUUUGACGGGUAGCCGGCCUGAGAGGGUGACCGGCCACAUUGGGACUGAGAUACGGCCCAGACUCCUACGGGAGGCAGCAGUGGGGAAUAUUGCACAAUGGGCGGAAGCCUGAUGCAGCAACGCCGCGUGCGGGAUGACGGCCUUCGGGUUGUAAACCGCUUUCGCCUGUGACGAAGCGUGAGUGACGGUAAUGGGUAAAGAAGCACCGGCUAACUACAUG